CCAACUAAGUUUGUUAUUGGUAUGAACUUUCGUGUGCAUGAACACUUCUUCAGAUACACAUGCAUGCACAGUUCUUCAGAUGUGUAUCUGAAGAAGUGUUCAUGCACACGAAAGCUCAUACCAAUAACAAACUUAGUUGG
Molecule: microRNA precursor, 140 nt
Filed under: Podarcis lilfordi (Lilford's wall lizard)
Lineage: Eukaryota; Metazoa; Chordata; Lepidosauria; Squamata; Lacertidae
Source: RNAcentral